CAAUCUAUCUCGCAGUAGUGGUGGCAGUGUGUUUGGUUGUGAUCUUCACUCAAGCAUUUAUAAUCUGUCAAAAGAGGCACUGUGACCAAUCUAGAGUGAGACCCCAGCAACAUUCUGUGGUAUUGCAACCAGCCAACCUGGGCCACGAUGAUUCGGUGGAACUGAAUUACGCUGCUUUACAUUUCAAUAAGAAGAAUACCAAAAGAGUGACAAGAAAGAGAGAAAAAUCUGAAGACUGUGUUUAUUCUAAAGUGUCAUCUGAUACUUAGAUUAUAUAGUCCCCUGCAAAACUACUGGAACAGCAAGGCUGAUUGUGUUUAUUGUAGACCUAAGGCAUUUGGGUUUUAGAUCAAAAGAUGAAUAUGAUAAAAGAGUUUAGAAUUUCAGCUUUUAUUUACUGGUAUUUACAUGCAGUUAUGUUAAACUACAUAAAACAUAGCAUAUUUUGUAUUAGACCACCCGAUUUUUAGGUGAGCAAAAAUAUUGGAACACAU
Ictalurus punctatus (channel catfish) is the source of this 494-nucleotide long non-coding RNA. RefSeq lists it as uncharacterized. The transcript is spliced from 3 exons. Lineage: Eukaryota; Metazoa; Chordata; Actinopteri; Siluriformes; Ictaluridae. The record is from RefSeq and is a predicted model, not a curated record.